GACGAACGCUGGCGGCGUGCUUAACACAUGCAAGUCGAGCGGUAAGGCCCUUUCGGGGGUACACGAGCGGCGAACGGGUGAGUAACACGUGGGUGACCUGCCCUCAGCUCUGGGAUAAGCCUGGGAAACUGGGUCUAAUACCGGAUAUGACUUCGCAUCGCAUGGUGUGGGGUGGAAAGUUUUUCGGCUGGGGAUGGGCCCGCGGCCUAUCAGCUUGUUGGUGGGGUGAUGGCCUACCAAGGCGACGACGGGUAGCCGGCCUGAGAGGGCGACCGGCCACACUGGGACUGAGACACGGCCCAGACUCCUACGGGAGGCAGCAGUGGGGAAUAUUGCGCAACGGGCGGAAGCCUGACGCAGCGACGCCGCGUGGGGAUGAC
This 380-nucleotide ribosomal RNA is filed under the name uncultured bacterium. RNAcentral describes it as "bacterial SSU rRNA". It matches the Rfam family "Bacterial small subunit ribosomal RNA", at positions 28 to 412 of the family's 1533-position model. The record is from RNAcentral.